This 1439-nucleotide long non-coding RNA is filed under the name Junco hyemalis (dark-eyed junco). RNAcentral's name for it is "lncRNA (ENSJHYG00000003238.1)". Lineage: Eukaryota; Metazoa; Chordata; Aves; Passeriformes; Passerellidae. The record is from RNAcentral.
CUACCCUUCCUCAGCUAGCCCUUACAUUUGUCUGGCUAACAGUAAAAAAAUACUAUAAUAAAUUGGUAACAUAUGUUGCCAGACAAGAAUAAGUGAUAUAAAUAAAGAGUCAAGAGACAUAGACCCUCAAGAAUAAUGCGUAAAGAUUUAAACUUCCAAUGUAUUAGUAAAGCUAGGAACAUUUUAGGAGGAACUUGAAAGUGGUGUUCUGUUUGUUUAUAUCAUUCCUUCUCUUUUUUUUUACCCCCCCCCCUCUCUUUUUUCUUCUCUUCAGAUUGCAUUUUAAAUCAAAAUGUUCUCCAUGACUGACUGCUUUGCAGCACUAGGUGCGCAGCCCCACAAAUUAAAUUGAUGAUUCCCAUAUCGGGCCAAAAAUGCAACAGGAGAAGGCUAUGAAAAAUUAGGAAAUCUUCUUGACAUUGGGAAAUCCGACACUUGUCUGCUCUAACAUCUGUAAGUGCCAAAGAAAGAGGGGGAUUUUUUUCCUUAAAGGUAAGUCUAUUUUUCUUCUUCUUGCCAGCGAUAAAAAUUGUGGUUAGUGCCUAGAGUAAAGGGCCCUCUAAACUUUAUAGUGUUUACCCUCCAUUUAUAAUUCCAUAAUUAUCUAUUUAAUGAUAUCAUAAGGUUAAAAGUUAAACAGCACUGUAUUUUCUCUAUUUUCUCCUCUGCCUUUUAGAAAGGCAGAUUUGCCUAUCUCCAAGGGACGAUCGGUCAGAGUUGUUUUCUGAAGAAGAAGCCUAUAGGUAAAGAGGCAUCCAUAUGUUCACACAGGAAGAUUCAUAAAGGCAAGGACAGGAACAUAAAGGUAUUAUUUUGACAUGAUGACCCCUGGAAAAUGUAUUUGACUCAUCCCAACCUAAAACCUACAAUGAAUUUACAUCAUCUAUAUGGAGCUUUGGACCAACAGGUAAUAAAAUACAAUAAAGCUUGCUUUUUAUCAGGACACACACACAAAAAAAUCCCAUUAAUUAUGGUUCAUGACUACUCUAAACCAAAUGUUCAAAUAGUAGUUGGAAAUGAUGCAUAAAAUCUCAGCAUGUUCUGAUAGGUUAUAGAGUCAGUGGUUUAUUGCAAUGUAAAACAAGCCACAGGAAGAGAGGGUGGUUUUGUUUACCAUUUUCAUCAAAGCUGUUCAUCAUGUUGAUAUACUUAUGCUAUAUUGUGACCCUUACAUACAUUGCAUUUCAUAUAUUUAUUUUCCAGGUUGUUGCCACUUUUGCUGCCUUUGCCUCUGAGAAGUUGAGUAAAUCCUCUGGCCCCUUUCAAAUAUUUUCUCAUCUGCACUGAAUUUCUACUGACAAAGCAACUGAUAGAUACUGACCUCAGAAAUAUUUAUUAUCAAUGAGUAAAGUUUUUUUGUUUUUGGUUUUUUUUUUUUUUUACUUAAUCUGAGGCAAUUAGUUCCUGAAUAAACACAGACUAAGUAAUCUACCUCCUCA